Mercenaria mercenaria is the source of this 1048-nucleotide long non-coding RNA. RefSeq lists it as uncharacterized. The transcript has 7 exons. NCBI's taxonomy places the organism in Eukaryota, Metazoa, Mollusca, Bivalvia, Venerida, Veneridae. The record is from RefSeq and is a predicted model, not a curated record.
GGAAAAAUUUCAACAAAUGUCUGGAUACCACAAUAUGAUUGUAACACGUGAAUUGAAGUCAGACACCUUACUGUACCACCAUGCAACAGUAUCAUCUAUCUUCCGUAACCGCCGAACCCCUUUCGGUGACGUAGACGUUGUUCGUCAGUAUAUAGAUAAUUUUAGUGAUAGAGCAGCCCUUUUUUAUGGUUUGGCAGAUUCCCUAGAGAGCUGCAUUGGGAAGUAACAGUAAAGCAGAAUACCUACAGUCCAUGAAGUUGAGAAAUGAAGAAAUGCAGCUCUGAAUUGUUUAAUACGGUGUGUGGGGAAAACUUUGUGGAUAUGAAGCAUAGAAAUCAUGUAUCAAUUCGAAGUAACAGUAACACAGAAUGGCUGGAGACCAGUAACUUUAGAACUGAAGAGAUGCAGGUCAUUGUUCUAUAUGGUGAUUGAUGGAACUAUGGUGCAGUUUUGAAUUGAUAAGGUGUGAAGUUACAGAAAAGCAGAAUAGCUACAGACCAUGAAAUUUAGAAAAUGAAGAGAUGCAUGUCUCAGUUCAGCAUGGUGUAUAUGGGAAACAUUGUGGGUCACAGACCUCUGUUCAACAUUGUGUAUAUGGGAAACAUUGUGGGUCACAGACAUGAAAUGAUUUGUGUGAAGUAACAGUAAAGCAGAAUGGCUACAGACAAUUAGUUCAGAAUGGAAGAAGAGAUGCAGGUCUUUGUUCUAUAUGGUGUAUGAGGGAACCAUGGUGGAAAUUUGGAUUUCAUGGCAGUCAUAGAAAUAUCUAAUAAGUCUGUAGGAAAGUGAUGUGUGUACCAGUCUGUCAGACUUUUACCUGUCUGUCCAGUCAACAAAUUCGCAAUAGAUGCGUAGAUUCUCAGAUAAUUUGGCAGAGUUUUCACAGUUACUAAGACAGAUUAUAAAAGAUUUUUGGACUAUAUUCCUGUGCGGAUAGAUUAAAAAACUACUCCAGACUGGUAGACAUGACAGAUGUUUAUUGGAAAUAUGAUCAUGGACUUAAAACUUUGAUGUGUAGCAAAAAAAAUCAUCGUUGAUGAUAGUGAUU